Molecule: ribosomal RNA, 250 nt
Filed under: uncultured bacterium
Lineage: Bacteria
Description: partial 16S ribosomal RNA
Rfam family: Bacterial small subunit ribosomal RNA
Source: RNAcentral
UACGAAGGGGGCGAGCGUUGUUCGGAUUUACUGGGCGUAAAGGGCGCGCAGGCGGCGCGGGAAGUCAGGCGUGAAAGCCCCGGGCUCAACCUGGGAACGGCGCCUGGGACUCUCGUGCUAGAGAUCGGGAGAGGAGCGUGGAAUUCCCAGUGUAGAGGUGAAAUUCGUAGAUAUUGGGAAGAACACCGGUGGCGAAGGCGGCGCUCUGGACCGAGACUGACGCUGAGGCGCGAAAGCGUGGGGAGCAAAC